This 26-nucleotide non-coding RNA is filed under the name Cricetulus griseus (Chinese hamster). Lineage: Eukaryota; Metazoa; Chordata; Mammalia; Rodentia; Cricetidae. The record is from RNAcentral.
UCUCAAUUAGGAAAGCUGUUUCCAGA